UACGGAGGAUGCGAGCGUUAUCCGGAUUUAUUGGGUUUAAAGGGUGCGUAGGCGGACUGUUAAGUCAGCGGUAAAAGCCCGGGGCUCAACCCCGGCAAGCCGUUGAAACUGGCUGUCUUGAGAUGUCGAGAGGUAUGCGGAAUGCGCAGUGUAGCGGUGAAAUGCUUAGAUAUUGCGCAGAACUCCGAUUGCGAAGGCAGCAUACCGGCGGCGAUCUGACGCUGAGGCACGAAAGCGUGGGUAUCGAACAGG
Molecule: ribosomal RNA, 252 nt
Filed under: uncultured bacterium
Lineage: Bacteria
Description: partial 16S ribosomal RNA
Rfam family: Bacterial small subunit ribosomal RNA
Source: RNAcentral